AUGUAAAUAGCAAUAAAAGUCAGGAAAAAAAAAUUUUUGUUGAUUAAAUAAAAUGAAUUUGAAGAAUAAAUAAACCAAUUUUGACAAACUUCACAUCAAUAGUGAUGUUAAAAUAAAACCCCGUUACAAAUACAGCUUUAGACUUGAAGCUAAAAACAAAAGGGAGCCCUGAAUCAGAUAAUUAGGAGCAAGGAACGGCAAGGAAGAUUUGAAGAAGACCUUAAGGGUUUCGAAGAAGUGGAAGGAGUUGUUCCAACUGCACUUUUCAGACAAGAAAAAAAGCAAGAGGGGUGAUAUAAGAGUGAAAUGGGAUUUCGGGUAGCAUCACCAGAGCCAGUGAAUUGGAAAAGAUUAACAAACCAGGAAGGAAGGCUUAUUCAAUCCCGGGGACUGUUCUGGGGCCUCUGGAGUUGUUUGUGCACAGAAAACUGUUUUAUAAAAUGAAAAACAUAAUGGACACCCUGAGCAUCCUCUUCACAACACAGUAAUUCAACAACAGAGUGGCUUCAGAGGCUUCUUCAGAUCAUUAUGGUUAUAAUUUAUAAAUCCUAUAAUUUCCAUUAGGGAUUAAUAUUGUAUUAUUGAU
Long non-coding RNA from Girardinichthys multiradiatus, 586 nucleotides. RefSeq lists it as uncharacterized. The record is from RefSeq and is a predicted model, not a curated record. Lineage: Eukaryota; Metazoa; Chordata; Actinopteri; Cyprinodontiformes; Goodeidae. The transcript is spliced from 3 exons.